GUCAGCAGUGAAAGGGUUAAUACGCGUAUGGUACUCAUUAAAAAUUCGUUGUCAACAAGAAUGUAUCAAAUAGUUUGAUACCCUCGAGCAUGGUAUAAUUGGCAUAUCCAAACCAAAUUCGACGAGCACCAAACACAGACACGUUUGUUGCGGAUCUACGAACAGUGUAAACUUGGUCGUAUCAAAGUUUGAUAUGGAUCUACUUGAUGUACACUAGCUUAAUAAUCAUGGUGUAACCAAUAAAUCCGUCCGUCGAUGCUUAAUAU
This is a non-coding RNA of Cinara cedri, 266 nucleotides long. The record is from the annotation of a GenBank genome assembly. NCBI's taxonomy places the organism in Eukaryota, Metazoa, Arthropoda, Insecta, Hemiptera, Aphididae.